RNAcentral lists this ribosomal RNA (440 nucleotides) under uncultured bacterium. Its description in RNAcentral is "partial 16S ribosomal RNA". It matches the Rfam family "Bacterial small subunit ribosomal RNA", at positions 338 to 795 of the family's 1533-position model. The record is from RNAcentral.
CCUACGGGCGGCUGCAGUGGGGGAUAUUGCACAAUGGGGGAAACCCUGAUGCAGCGACGCCGCGUGUGGGAAGACGGUCCUCUGGAUUGUAAACCACUUCCCCCAGGGACGAAGAUGACGGUACCUGGGGAGGAAGCUCCGGCUAACUACGUGCCAGCAGCCGCGGUAAUACGUAGGGAGCGAGCGUGGUCCGGAAUUACUGGGGGUAAGGGGAGCGUAGGCGGGACUGCAAGUAGGGGGUAAAAUCUACCGGCUCAACCGGUAGCCGCACUCAAAACUGCAGUUCUUGAGUGAAGUAGAGGCAGGCGGAAUUCCUAGUGUAGCGGUGAAAUGCGUAGAUAUUAGGAGGAACACCAGUGGCGAAGGCGGCCUGCUGGGCUUUUACUGACGCUGAGGCUCGAAAGUGUGGGGAGCAAACAGGAUUAGAUACCCUAGUAGUC